RNAcentral lists this ribosomal RNA (495 nucleotides) under uncultured bacterium. RNAcentral describes it as "partial 16S ribosomal RNA". It matches the Rfam family "Bacterial small subunit ribosomal RNA", at positions 30 to 507 of the family's 1533-position model. The record is from RNAcentral.
UGAACGCUGGCGGCGUGCCUACUACAUGCACGUCGAGCGACCAGACGCGGAGCUUGCUCCUCUGACGUUAGCGGCGGACGGGUGAGUAACACGUGGAUAACCUACCUAUAAGACUGGGAUAACUUCGGGAAACCGGAGCUAAUACCGGAUAAUAUAUUGAACCGCAUGGUUCAAUAGUGAAAGACGGUUUUGCUGUCACUUAUAGAUGGAUCCGCGCCGCAUUAGCUAGUUGGUAAGGUAACGGCUUACCAAGGCAACGAUGCGUAGCCGACCUGAGAGGGUGAUCGGCCACACUGGAACUGAGACACGGUCCAGACUCCUACGGGAGGCAGCAGUAGGGAAUCUUCCGCAAUGGGCGAAAGCUUGACGGAGCAACGCCGCGUGAGUGAUGAAGGUCUUCGGAUCGUAAAACUCUGUUAUUAGGGAAGAACAAAUGUGUAAGUAACUAUGCACGUCUUGACGGUACCUAAUCAGAAAGCCACGGCUAACUACGUG